UACAGAGGGGGCGAGCGUUGUUCGGAAUUACUGGGCGUAAAGGGCGCGUAGGCGGCCCUCUAAGUCGAACGUGAAAUCCCCGGGCUCAACCCGGGAACUGCGUCCGAUACUGGAGGGCUCGAAUCCGGGAGAGGGAUGUGGAAUUCCAGGUGUAGCGGUGAAAUGCGUAGAUAUCUGGAGGAACACCGGUGGCGAAGGCGGCAUCCUGGACCGGUAUUGACGCUGAGGCGCGAAAGCGUGGGGAGCGAACAGG
Molecule: ribosomal RNA, 253 nt
Filed under: uncultured bacterium
Lineage: Bacteria
Description: partial 16S ribosomal RNA
Rfam family: Bacterial small subunit ribosomal RNA
Source: RNAcentral